RNAcentral lists this long non-coding RNA (231 nucleotides) under Carica papaya (papaya). Its description in RNAcentral is "long non-coding RNA (CPAP_LNC014944)". The record is from RNAcentral. Lineage: Eukaryota; Viridiplantae; Streptophyta; Magnoliopsida; Brassicales; Caricaceae.
CCAUCAACACAUCCCAUAAUCAGUACAAUACGUAUAUUCAAGUCGACAGCCACUUCAUGAAAAACUUGAGAGUUGACCAAUUUAUACACCAUUUGUGUGCUUGCACGGUUAGUUGGCUGACGUGCUUACUAAAAGACUUAGUAGCCCACUAUUUCAAAUAUUGUACCAAACUAGGCAUGAAGAUCACCUAUUCACCAGCAUGAAAGGAAAUGUGGGAAAAGGGAAGUGUAU